Molecule: non-coding RNA, 81 nt
Filed under: pig gut metagenome
Description: ZMP/ZTP riboswitch
Rfam family: ZMP/ZTP riboswitch aptamer (pfl RNA motif)
About the family: Previously known as pfl RNA. ZMP is also known as AICAR.
Source: RNAcentral
UUGCCGUGUGACUGACGGAAUUAAGUGGGGAUUACCACAGAGGAGCACGGUAAGAGUUUCAGCCGACCGUCUGGGCAGUCC